RNAcentral lists this transfer-messenger RNA (404 nucleotides) under Prosthecochloris sp. It matches the Rfam family "transfer-messenger RNA". Rfam says of the family: Bacterial tmRNA, also known as 10Sa RNA or SsrA, is named for its dual tRNA and mRNA-like properties. The record is from RNAcentral. RNAcentral also lists the same sequence under 2 other names. Lineage: Bacteria; Pseudomonadati; Chlorobiota; Chlorobiia; Chlorobiales; Chlorobiaceae.
GGGGAUGACCGGCUUUUGACAGGGCAGGUGUGAGAUGUCGUUGCACUCCGAGUUUCAGCAUGGAUGGACUCGUAAAAGAAGUCUAUGCAACUACUAGAUGCAGACGAUCAUUCGUAUGCAAUGGCUGCCUGAUUAGCACACAGUUAAUUUAGAGCGCCAUCGUUCGGCAGGGGAGGUGCUUACUCUGAAGCUGUCGAAUGGCAUAACCCGCGCUUGAGCUCUAGCUCGCGCAAGUAAGCUUCACGUGUCUGUGCCCGGAAAGGCUCGUGAAUAUCACUCCGGGAUAGUGCUGUGAACUCUGUCGGUGGAGUCGUACAGCACGAACCUUCAAACACCGGAGAUGAGUGUGGUAGCGGUGUCAACCACUGUUCUGGACGCGGGUUCGAUUCCCGCCAUCUCCACCA